RNAcentral lists this ribosomal RNA (2891 nucleotides) under Proteus hauseri ZMd44. RNAcentral's name for it is "bacterial LSU rRNA". It matches the Rfam family "Bacterial large subunit ribosomal RNA". The record is from RNAcentral. Lineage: Bacteria; Pseudomonadati; Pseudomonadota; Gammaproteobacteria; Enterobacterales; Morganellaceae.
AUAAGCGUACACGGUGGAUGCCUAGGCAAUCAGAGGCGAUGAAGGACGUGCUAAUCUGCGAUAAGCGUCGGUAAGGUGAUAUGAACCGUUAUACCCGACGAUUUCCGAAUGGGGAAACCCAAUAUCCAAUGGAUAUUAUCAUUACGUGAAUACAUAGCGUAAUGAAGCGAACCGGGAGAACUGAAACAUCUCAGUACCCCGAGGAAAAGAAAUCAACCGAGAUUCCCCUAGUAGCGGCGAGCGAACGGGGAACAGCCCAGAGUCUUAAUCAAUAGCAGCAUCAGGAGAACGGUCUGGAAAGUCCGGCAGUAAAGGGUGAUAGCCCCGUAUCCGAAGAUGCUGUUGUUGUGAACUCGACGAGUAGGGCGGGACACGUGUUAUCCUGUCUGAAUAUGGGGGGACCAUCCUCCAAGGCUAAAUACUCCUGAUUGACCGAUAGUGAACCAGUACCGUGAGGGAAAGGCGAAAAGAACCCCGGCGAGGGGAGUGAAAAAGAACCUGAAACCGUGUACGUACAAGCAGUAGGAGCCUCUUUAUGGGGUGACUGCGUACCUUUUGUAUAAUGGGUCAGCGACUUAUAUUCUGUAGCAAGGUUAACCGUAUAGGGGAGCCGUAGGGAAACCGAGUCUUAACUGGGCGAAUGAGUUGCAGGGUAUAGACCCGAAACCCGGUGAUCUAUCCAUGGGCAGGUUGAAGGUUGGGUAACACUAACUGGAGGACCGAACCGACUAAUGUUGAAAAAUUAGCGGAUGACUUGUGGAUGGGGGUGAAAGGCCAAUCAAACCGGGAGAUAGCUGGUUCUCCCCGAAAGCUAUUUAGGUAGCGCCUCGUGAAUUCAUCUUCGGGGGUAGAGCACUGUUUCGACUAGGGGGUCAUCCCGACUUACCAACUCGAUGCAAACUGCGAAUACCGAAGAAUGUUAUCACGGGAGACACACGGCGGGUGCUAACGUCCGUCGUGAAGAGGGAAACAACCCAGACCGCCAGCUAAGGUCCCAAAGUCAUGGUUAAGUGGGAAACGAAGUGGGAAGGCUCAGACAGCCAGGAUGUUGGCUUAGAAGCAGCCAUCAUUUAAAGAAAGCGUAAUAGCUCACUGGUCGAGUCGGCCCGCGCGGAAGAUGUAACGGGGCUAAACCAUGCACCGAAGCUGCGGCAGCGACACUAAGUGUUGUUGGGUAGGGGAGCGUUCUGUAAGCCUGCGAAGGUGUACUGUGAGGUAUGCUGGAGGUAUCAGAAGUGCGAAUGCUGACAUAAGUAACGAUAAUGCGGGUGAAAAACCCGCACGCCGGAAGACCAAGGGUUCCUGUCCAACGUUAAUCGGGGCAGGGUGAGUCGACCCCUAAGGCGAGGCUGAAAAGCGUAGUCGAUGGGAAACGGGUUAAUAUUCCCGUACUGGUGGUAACUGCGAUGGGGGAACGGAGAAGGCUAGGUUGUCCGGGCGACGGUCGUCCCGGUUCAAGCAUGUAGGCAGAGUGAUUAGGCAAAUCCGGUCACUUAAUGCUGAGGUGUGAUGACGAGCCACUAAGGUGGUGAAGCAAUUGAUGCCCUGCUUCCAGGAAAAGCCUCUAAGCUUCAGGUUACCAACAAUCGUACCCCAAACCGACACAGGUGGUCAGGUAGAGAAUACUCAGGCGCUUGAGAGAACUCGGGUGAAGGAACUAGGCAAAAUGGUGCCGUAACUUCGGGAGAAGGCACGCUGGCGGUAAGUGAAGUCCCUUGCGGACGGAGCCGAAGCCAGUCGAAGAUACCAGCUGGCUGCAACUGUUUAUUAAAAACACAGCACUGUGCAAACACGAAAGUGGACGUAUACGGUGUGACGCCUGCCCGGUGCUGGAAGGUUAAUUGAUGGGGUUAUCCUUAGGGAGAAGCUCUUGAUCGAAGCCCCAGUAAACGGCGGCCGUAACUAUAACGGUCCUAAGGUAGCGAAAUUCCUUGUCGGGUAAGUUCCGACCUGCACGAAUGGCGUAAUGAUGGCCAGGCUGUCUCCACCCGAGACUCAGUGAAAUUGAACUCGCUGUGAAGAUGCAGUGUACCCGCGGCAAGACGGAAAGACCCCGUGAACCUUUACUAUAGCUUGACACUGAACAUUGAGCCUUGAUGUGUAGGAUAGGUGGGAGACUAUGAAAUGUGGACGCCAGUCUGCAUGGAGUCAACCUUGAAAUACCACCCUUUAACGUUUGAUGUUCUAACCUAGGUCCAUAAUCUGGAUCGGGGACCGUGUCUGGUGGGUAGUUUGACUGGGGCGGUCUCCUCCUAAAGAGUAACGGAGGAGCACGAAGGUUGGCUAAGCAUGGUCGGACAUCAUGCGGUUAGUGCAAAGGCAUAAGCCAGCUUGACUGUGAGAGUGACGGCUCGAGCAGGUACGAAAGUAGGUCUUAGUGAUCCGGUGGUUCUGAAUGGAAGGGCCAUCGCUCAACGGAUAAAAGGUACUCCGGGGAUAACAGGCUGAUACCGCCCAAGAGUUCAUAUCGACGGCGGUGUUUGGCACCUCGAUGUCGGCUCAUCACAUCCUGGGGCUGAAGUAGGUCCCAAGGGUAUGGCUGUUCGCCAUUUAAAGUGGUACGCGAGCUGGGUUUAGAACGUCGUGAGACAGUUCGGUCCCUAUCUGCCGUGGGCGUUGGAAGAUUGAGAGGGGUUGCUCCUAGUACGAGAGGACCGGAGUGAACGCACCACUGGUGUUCGGGUUGUCAUGCCAAUGGCAUUGCCCGGUAGCUAAGUGCGGAAGAGAUAACCGCUGAAAGCAUCUAAGCGGGAAACUUGCCUCGAGAUGAGUCUUCCCUGUCACCUAGAGUGACCUAAAGGAACGUUUAAGACUAAGACGUUGAUAGGCUGGGUGUGUAAGCGUAGCGAUACGUUGAGCUAACCAGUACUAAUGAACCGUGAGGCUUAACC